This 161-nucleotide non-coding RNA is filed under the name Thalassionema nitzschioides. The record is from RNAcentral. Lineage: Eukaryota; Bacillariophyta; Fragilariophyceae; Thalassionematales; Thalassionemataceae.
GGCGAAUAUAUAUAACCGAAUUACGUCUAGCGAAACUUAAAGAAGAAAAAAAUAACAAGGGCAAAAUCAGCCAUAUAUAUAUAUAUUCCAGUCCUUCAUAAAUGUACUACUAGUUACUCGAAUAUUCGAAUCAUCAAGGCUCUCUCUCUCUCUCUCCUAGU